UGGGGAAUAUUGCGCAAUGGACGAAAGUCUGACGCAGCGACGCCGCGUGAGGGAUGAAGCUUUUCGGAGUGUAAACCUCUGUUGCCCGGGACGAACAUCCUCUUUCGAGAGGACUGACGGUACCGGGUGAGGAAGCACCGGCUAACUCUGUGCCAGCAGCCGCGGUAAUACAGAGGGUGCGAGCGUUGUCCGGAAUCACUGGGCGUAAAGGGCGCGUAGGUGGCUGGGUAAGCGUGCGGUGAAAGUUCGGGGCUCAACCCCGAAUCGGCCGUGCGGACUGCCUAGCUCGAGCAUAGUAGAGGCAGGUGGAAUUCCGGGUGUAGCGGUGGAAUGCGUAGAGAUCCGGAAGAACACCGGUGGCGAAGGCGGCCUGCUGGGCUAUUGCUGACACUGAGGCGCGACAGCGUGGGGAGCAAACAGG
This 421-nucleotide ribosomal RNA is filed under the name uncultured bacterium. Its description in RNAcentral is "bacterial SSU rRNA". It matches the Rfam family "Bacterial small subunit ribosomal RNA", at positions 355 to 776 of the family's 1533-position model. The record is from RNAcentral.